ACUUUUGCAAAACAUUGGAAAAAUUCCUAAAAUUCCGGAGUUUGAGGAUACAUUUACUAAAAUUGGAUAGGAAAAUAUGUUUUCCGGAAAGUAGCAUAUUGUACCAGCUUCCAGCGCCUGAAAAGCCUGCCCAAAGUUCGAUUACUUCCAGUGCAGACUUUCCAAAUGAAAGUUAAAGAAUUUCCUUAGGAUUGCCAAGAAAUCACUCAUAAAGUUUUGAAGAAAUAUACCCAGCCACAAAACCAAACUGCACACCAACAAGCAUUCGGAUAACAUGUACUCGAUAGCCUCACGCAACAGGCUUGCCUAUGAAGAGAAGUGUGAUUAUAUUGCAUCCUUAAAAAAAACAGCAAUUGGAUAAAUAGAACAGAGUGCUGAUAUAUCGCUUCCAUCCUCGAGUUCGAUGUACGUGAUUUCA
Molecule: long non-coding RNA, 418 nt
Organism: Uranotaenia lowii
Lineage: Eukaryota; Metazoa; Arthropoda; Insecta; Diptera; Culicidae
Exons: 3
Source: RefSeq, a predicted model, not a curated record